AUUGAACGCUGGCGGCAGGCCUAACACAUGCAAGUCGAACGGUAACAGGAAGAAGCUUGCUUCUUUGCUGACGAGUGGCGGACGGGUGAGUAAUGUUUGGGAAACUGCCUGAUGGAGGGGGAUAACUACUGGAAACGGUAGCUAAUACCGCAUAACGUCGCAAGCCCAAAGAGGGGGACCUUCGGGCCUCUUGCCAUCGGAUGUGCCCAGCUGGGAUUAGCUAGUAGGUGGGGUAACGGCUCACCUAGGCGACGAUCCCUAGCUGGUCUGAGAGGAUGACCAGCCACCCUGGAACUGAGACACGGUCCAGACUCCUACGGGAGGCAGCAGUGGGGAAUAUUGCACAAUGGGCGCAAGCCUGAUGCAGCCAUGCCGCGUGUAUGAAGAAGGCCUUCGGGUUGUAAAGUACUUUCAGCGGGGAGGAAGGGAGUAAAGUUAAUACCUUUGCUCAUUGACGUUACCCGCAGAAGAAGCACCGGCUAACUCCGUG
This 490-nucleotide ribosomal RNA is filed under the name uncultured bacterium. Its description in RNAcentral is "partial 16S ribosomal RNA". It matches the Rfam family "Bacterial small subunit ribosomal RNA", at positions 30 to 507 of the family's 1533-position model. The record is from RNAcentral.